Molecule: ribosomal RNA, 253 nt
Filed under: uncultured bacterium
Lineage: Bacteria
Description: partial small subunit ribosomal RNA
Rfam family: Bacterial small subunit ribosomal RNA
Source: RNAcentral
AGGACGAACGCUGGCGGCGUGCUUAACACAUGCAAGUCGAGCGGAAAGGCCCUUCGGGGUACUCGAGCGGCGAACGGGUGAGUAACACGUGAGUAAUCUGCCCCUAGCUCUGGGAUAGCUCCGGGAAACCGGGAUUAAUACCGGAUACGACCACUUUAGACAUCUGUUGUGGUGGAAAGAAUUUUGGCUAGGGAUGAGCUCGCGGCCUAUCAGCUUGUUGGUGGGGUAACGCGUACCAAGGCGACGACGGGUA